AUUGAACGCUGGCGGCAUGCUUUACACAUGCAAGUCGAACGGUAACAGGCCGCAAGGUGCUGACGAGUGGCGAACGGGUGUGUAAUUCAUCGGAACGUGCCCAGUCGUGGGGUUUAACUACUCGAAAGAGUAGCUAAUACCUCAUACGAUCUAUGGAUUAAAGCGGGGGACCGUAAGGCCUCUCGCGAUUUUAUCUGCCGAUUUCAGAUUAGGUAGUUGGUGGGGUAAAGGCUCACCAAGCCAACGAUCUGUAGCUGGUCUGAGAGGACGACCAGCCACACUGGAACUGAGACACGGCCCAGACGCCUACGGGAGGCAGCAGUGGGGAAUUUUGGACAAUGGGCGCAAGCCUGAUCCAGCAAUGCCGCGUGCAGGAAGAAGGCCUUCGGGUUGUAAACUGCUUUUGUACGGAACGAAACGGCUCUGGUUAAUACCCGGGGCUAAUGACGGUACCGUAAGAAUAAGCACCGGCUAACUACGUG
RNAcentral lists this ribosomal RNA (482 nucleotides) under uncultured bacterium. RNAcentral's name for it is "partial 16S ribosomal RNA". It matches the Rfam family "Bacterial small subunit ribosomal RNA", at positions 30 to 507 of the family's 1533-position model. The record is from RNAcentral.